UGCAGGGCAGGGGUUAGAUCAGGCUGCAUGCACUAAUGGAAACUCUGAAGCAAUUUCUGCCAGUAGCCAAAGAGCACAUUUCUUUGUACAAACAGCACAGCACUCUCAAAGGAAGCUGAGCCUAGAAGGAAAAGCUGUGAGACCUGAGACAGACACCAGUCUACUUGGCAAAUUCCUGGUUGCCAGAUAGUCCAGUCCAGUCUUGGCAACAGCAUCAGCCAUGAAUGCAGUGAGUGGCAUGCUACAUUUUUACUCCUUGUAGUGAGGAGGCAUGGCAUCCCGCAGAGAUUGACAGGCAGGGACUACAACCCAUCACCUGCUGAGUGGAGCGAGGAAAGGGCCGCCCACCCACCGGAAGCAGAGUGGUGAAACAGGAAGAGGAAGUAUAAAAGGCCAGCCCUGAAGCUUAGUUGGGCCGGAGGCACCAAGGAAGACAGACAGAUCCCUCUUGCUGCCAGAGCCCGAAGAGGACCCUGGCCUAGUGCUUACCAGCAACUGUAGCACACAGAUGAAUUCCAAUUCAAGUGAUGACGUACACAUUUUGUCAGCAUUCAACACCCAAUCAUUGAGAUCUUUCUCCAGCUCAGGAAAUGAAGUGCACCUCAUUGGACAUUUUUUCUUGCUUCCUGGCAUGUCUUUAAAUGUCAUUUUAUUUUUUUGCCAUUCUCUUACUCGUUUCCCAUUGAUACAGAAUUCACAAGCUGUGCCACAAUUAUUGUUUUCUUCUUCAUAUUCAACAACUUUACAUUUGAAUGCUGCUUGAUAAGCAGGCUGUUUUCUUUUGAUUUCACUGUUUAUUUUAAAUACUAGUAUGAAAAUCUUAGAAAAUAAUAAUUUAGUUAUAGAUUUUGUAUGACUUUAUACAGGAAUGUCACCUGCUUUAUCACUGUCCAAUUAUUAUUAUUCUUUCUUUAUUUCCAACAGCCCUGUAGAUUGGCGCGUCUUUGGCGAUAACAGGCUAUUUAAAUUUUAUCACAGAUUCCAUCGAUUCUGCAUGUUAUAUUUUCAAAUUGGCUUGAGACUUACAAGGUCCAUUGGUAGAAAUGCAUGAAGAGAUCAUAUUACACAGUAGUGGUCUGACACCAGUGCCAUAGUAUUAUCAUUCAUUGUAUUUUUCUGAUUGGAUUGUAAAGUGUAUUAUUUUGUGAAAUGCAAAGGUCAAAUGCAAUGGAGUUCUGCAGCAGUGUUAUUUUAGCUUUCAUUUCAAGCCAGUCCAUUAAACAAAGCCUUUUCAACUUUAAACAGCUGCAGUACAGACAUCAAUAAAUUAUUUUACGAAUAAUAUAAGUACUUGCUAUAAAAAUAAUUAUAAUAGAGUCUCGUAGUAGAAAAAUACUAGGAAAAGCAAGCAGCUAGUACUAGGAAAAUUGAACUUUAGGGAAGCACAUGUUUUUAAGUGCUUUGUU
Molecule: non-coding RNA, 1406 nt
Organism: Chelonoidis abingdonii (Abingdon island giant tortoise)
Lineage: Eukaryota; Metazoa; Chordata; Testudines; Testudinidae
Source: RefSeq, a predicted model, not a curated record